Long non-coding RNA from Cyprinus carpio carpio, 2301 nucleotides. The record is from Ensembl. Lineage: Eukaryota; Metazoa; Chordata; Actinopteri; Cypriniformes; Cyprinidae.
AUGCACUCCCCCCACCCACAAUUCCUGCCGGCCCGAGACUCGAACUCACAACCCUUCGAUUGGGAGUCCGACUCUCUAACCAUUAGGCCACGACUCCCCGACUCUUGUAAUGCUUUAUUGGGUGGUUGUUCUGCACGCUUAAUAAACAAACUCCAGCUGGUUCAAAAUGCAGCAGCUAGAGUUCUUACUAGAACCAGGAAGUAUGACCAAAUUUGCCUGAUUCUGUCAACACUGCAUUGGCUCCCUAUUAAACAUCAUAUACAGUACAGGUCAAAAGUUUGGAAACAUUACUAUUUUUAGCAUUACAAUAGUCUAACCUUGAGGUCAUAAACGCAUGGAUUAACAUUUCUGCAUUUGACACUGAGAGCAUCGGCCGUAAUUUAGAUAUAUUUUUUGAGAUGGAAAAAUGCAGUUUUACAAAUGCUAGAAACGUGGCUUUCUAAGGAAAGGUUGCUAUCAAAUAGCACACCUAGGUUCCUAACUGAUGAUGAAGAAUUGACAGAGCAGCCAUCAAGGCUUAGACAGCGUUCUAGGUCAUUACAUGCAGAGCUUUUAGGCCCUAUAAUUAACACCUCUGUUUUUUCAGAAUUUAGCAGUAAGAAAUUACUCGUCAUCCAGUUUUUUAUAUCGACUAUGCAUUCCGUUAGUUUUUCAAAUUGGUAUGUUUCGCCAGGCCGCGAUGAAAUAUAGAGCUGAGUAUCAUCAGCAUAACAGUGAAAGCUAACACCGUGUUUCCUGAUGAUAUCUCCCAAGGGUAACAUGUAAAACGUAAAGAGUAAAGGCCCUAGUACUGAGCCUUGCGGUACUCCAUACUGCACUUGUGAACGAUAUGAUACCUCUUCAUUCACUGCUACGAAUUGAUGGCGGUCAUAUAAGUAUGAUUUAAACCAUGCUAAUGCACUUCCAUUAAUGCCAACAAAGUGUUCUAGUAUAUGCAAAAGAAUAGUGUGGUCAAUAGUGUCGAACGCAGCACUAAGAUCCAAUAGCACUAAUAGAGAGAUACAACCACGAUCAGAUGAUAAGAGCAGGUCAUUUGUAACUCUAAGGAGAGCAGUCUCAGUACUAUGAUACGGUCUAAAUCCUGACUGGAAAUCCUCACAGAUGCCAUUUUUCUCUAAGAUGGAAUAUAAUUGUGAGGAUACUACCUUUUCUAGUAUCUUUGAAAGAAAAGGGAGAUUUGAGAUCGGUCUAUAAUUAACUAGUUCUUUGGGGUCAAGUUGUGGUUUUUUGAUGAGAGGCUUAAUAACAGCCAGUUUGAAGGAUUUUGGGACAUACCCUAAUAACAAUGAGGAAUUAAUAAUAGUCAGAAGAGGAUCUAUGACUUCUGGAAGCACCUCUUUUAGGAGCUUAGAUGGAAUAGGGUCUAACAUACAUGUUGUUGGUUUAGAUGAUUUAACAAGUUUAUACAAUUCUUCCUCUCCUAUAGUAGAGAAUGAGUGGAACUGUUCCUCAGGGGAUCUAUAGUGCACUGUCUGAUGUGAUACUGUAGCUGAUGGCUGCAUGGUUACAAUUUUAUCUCUAAUAGUAUCGACUUUAGAAGUAAAGUAGUUCAUAAAGUCAUUACUGCUGUGAUGUUGAGAAAUGUCAACACUUGUUGAUGCUUUAUUUUUCGUUAAUUUAGCCACUGUAUUGAAUAAAUACCUGGGGUUAUGUUUGUUUUUCUUCUAAAAGAGACGAAAAAGUAAUCAGAUUUAGCAGUUUUUUUAAUGCUUUUUCUGUAAGAUAGGUUACUUUUCCUCCAAGCAAUAAGAAAUACUUCUAGUUUUGUUUUCCUCCAGCUGCGCUCCAUUUUCCGGGCUGCUCUCUUUAGGGUGCGAGUGUGCUCAUUACACCACGGUGUCAGACUGUUUUCCUUAACCUUCCUUAAGCGUAAAGGAGCAACUGUAUUUAAAAUGCUAGAAAAGAGAGAGUCCAUAGUUUCUGUUACAUCAUCAAGUUGUUCUGAGGUUUUGGAUAUGCUAAGGAAUUGGGAUACAUCAGGAAGAUUACUUACAAAGCAGUCUUUUGUGGUAGAAGUGAUGGUUCUACCAUACUUGUAACAAGAAGUGGAAUUUACAGUUUUAGCUAUAUGAAGUUUGCACAAAACUAAAUAAUGAUCUGAGAUAUCAUCGCUUGGCUGCAAGUCUGAGGACUUGUGUGUCAUGAUCGAUCUAAAAGAUGCACAUAUCUCCAUCCUUUGUCAUCAUAGGAAGUUCCUGAGGUUUGCUUUUGGGGGCAAAAGCCUACCAAUACUGGUUCUUCCUUUGGCCUUGCACUCUCACCCCACACUUUCACGGCUUAACCACAUCGAUGAUUGGUUGA